RNAcentral lists this ribosomal RNA (786 nucleotides) under uncultured archaeon. RNAcentral's name for it is "bacterial SSU rRNA". It matches the Rfam family "Archaeal small subunit ribosomal RNA", at positions 88 to 879 of the family's 1478-position model. The record is from RNAcentral.
GCUCAGUAACACGUGGAUAAUCUGCCCUAUGGUGGAGGAUAACCCCGGGAAACUGGGGAUAAUACUCCAUAAGUCAGGAGUACUGGAAUGUCUCCUAACUGAAAGUCGCGGCGCCAUAGGAUGAAUCUGCGGCCGAUUAGGCAGUUGUUGGGGUAACGGCCCAACAAGCCCGUAAUCGGUACGGGUUGUGGGAGCAAGAGCCCGGAGAUGGAAUCUGAGACACGAUUCCAGGCCCUACGGGGCGCAGCAGGCGCGAAAACUUUACAAUGCAGGAAACUGUGAUAAGGGAACCCCGAGUGCCCAUACACGCGGGCUGUCCCGGUGUUUAAAACACAUCGGAAGAAAGGGCCGGGCAAGACCGGUGCCAGCCGCCGCGGUAAUACCGGCGGCUCGAGUGGUGACCACUUUUAUUGGGCUUAGAGCGUUCGUAGCUUGAUUUUUAAGUCUCUUGGGAAAUCUCACGGCUUAACUGUGAGGCGUCUAAGAGAUACUGGGAAUCUAGGGACCGGGAGAGGUAAGAGGUACUUCAGGGGUAGAAGUGAAAUUCUGUAAUCCUUGAGGGACCACCGAUGGCGAAGGCAUCUUACCAGAACGGCUUCGACAGUGAGGAACGAAAGCUGGGGGAGCGAACGGGAUUAGAUACCCCGGUAGUCCCAGCCGUAAACUAUGCGCGUUAGGCGUGCCUGUAACUACGAGUUACCGGGGUGCCGAAGUGAAAACGUGAAACGUGCCGCCUGGGAAGUACGGUCGCAAGGCUGAAACUUAAAGGAAUUGGCGGGGGAGCAC